AUGCAAGUUAAUCCUUCUCUUACUAAAAAGAUUCUAAAUCCCCCCAUUAUCCUGAUAACAAAGCCCUAUCUGACUAGUGUGAUAUUGAAAAUAUGCAGGGUGUCUGCGACCUUGCUUUCUAACCAAGUUUCCUACUCUUUCUUCCACAAGCCUCCUGCUUCAAUCAAACUGGCCCAGGGACUAUAUCGGGUCAGAUGGAUCGCUACCUUUCUAUCUUUGCUAACGCUAGAAUGUACUCCUCUUCAUCUUACGUUUGUCAACUUUCUGAAAGUGGUGUUGACACAUCCAGCAUGGCCACUUUCAAGCCCCUAGGGAGAUGUUACUGAAGAAAGGGUUGAAAAGAGAUACUCACCAUUGGCUCUCAUGAGCUACUGCAGGCUGGUUCCAGUGCACCACUGAGUGCUGAGUAGUAGAGCUUCAAACAUCCUUUGAAGACUGUUCAUCUUCUGUCGCAUGGUGGACCUAACAAUGAAAUUCUCCCACUUUUGUCUGAAAAUGAGAAAUCAUAAGAAACAAAAACUGAUCAGGCUGGGCUGGGUGUGGUGGCUCAUACCUGUGAUCUCAGCACUUUAGGAGGCUGAGGUGGGUGGAUCACGAGAUCAUGAGUUUGAGACCAGCCUGACCAACAUGGUAAAAUGCCAUCUCUACUAAAAAUACAAAAAUUAGGUGGGUGUGGUAGCAAGUGCCUGUAAUUCCAGCUACUCAGGAAGCUGAAGCAGGAGAAUCACUUGAACCUGGGAGGUGGAGGUUGCAGUGAGCCAAGAUCAUGCCACUGCACUCCAGCCUGGGCAACAGAGCGAUACUCCAUCAAAAAAAAAAAAAGAAGAAAAAGACAAAGACUGGUCAAAUAUAUUCUUUCUCCUAAGAAUCUGAAUCUUGACUAGAGCAUAAAUAAAAAACAAAUGUUUGGUGGGGGGGAAUUCCUAAGAAUUCUUGUUAUCCAGACUUAAACCCCACCCCAUCCCUGAGCUGUAAUCUACCUCCUUAAUGAAACCUCAUCUUCCUUCUUUUCCCCCCAUGGUUAUAUAAACUUUCUCAAGUCCUUCUUAUGAAUUACUUAUUUUCUUUAACAUUCCUAGAAUUAGUCUCUGACAUAAAGUGUAAAUCAACAGAUUUGCUAUUGCUUAGUUUUUUACUGUGUGUAUUUAAAUAGCUGCUCCACAACGCUCUUUUCCCAAACUCAUUUUGAGUCUUAUGGGGUUGGAGAGACUGCAGUAGAAGGAGUCAAGUGUAAUUUAUUUACAAAGGCACAAGGUGACACACCUUCUUUUCAACUUUUCUCAUUAUGCCAACUAAUUAUAUUUAAUAUUAACAAAGAGUGUUUGGGGACGUGGAAAAGUAUCAUAUUUAUCAUAUUAAGGUAAAAACUAAGCUCCGUAACAAAGGAACUUAGAGCAAUACGGAAGCUUAAAAGAAAACGGA
This is a long non-coding RNA of Callithrix jacchus (white-tufted-ear marmoset), 1422 nucleotides long. NCBI's taxonomy places the organism in Eukaryota, Metazoa, Chordata, Mammalia, Primates, Cebidae. The record is from Ensembl.